Molecule: long non-coding RNA, 795 nt
Filed under: Volvox carteri
Lineage: Eukaryota; Viridiplantae; Chlorophyta; Chlorophyceae; Chlamydomonadales; Volvocaceae
Description: long non-coding RNA (VCAR_LNC004147)
Source: RNAcentral
GCACCCUGCCGUACGGCUGCCGUACCAGCGAUGAUGAUUUUCUGCAACGGGUACAACGGAAGGACCCGCUGUACCAGCGGCGUUUGCCGACCCCUGGUGUGGACUGUACACUUAUGGCUGCUUGCAAAACAAAUUGCGGGUGCGAGGCGAAGUGCACUCUUGCGUACGGCUUGCACCUUGCAAAGUCGCAGGUCGCGAGAAAUCGCCCAUCUUUACAUGCGAGCGCAUACGUGAUUUCGUUUUCCGCACUUGUCAUAUCCGACACGUAAGUGUAAAUGCAUUGGAGUGGCAUGCGGCAUAUAUGGCUUCGUCUGCGUCAGGAACGCCUGGCCCAUGGCCACACACAAAAGGAAAUGCCGAAUCUUCUUUUCGGCCUAGUAUAGAAAUGCCUUCGCCUGUCAAGGAGAGGUCUCAGUGGUAUCCUUGUUGUCGCCCGCUCCUGCUUCACUGUAGGCUUCUUCUCAAGCACGCACGCUGGGCCCUAUGCCCAACGGUGUCGCGAUAUAGUUGACAAUAAUCAGUCAGCUCUCGAGUGGUAAAUCUGUGUACUGAGAGUUCCGGACUGGAUGCUAAGUGUGACCGAUAUCAAAAGCCGUUAUGCAUCAAAAGAUGGAAAGAUGCAAAUUACAACGAAAACCUGUUGUACUUUUAGUACUUCAGUAAAGGGCCGUCCCUAGUAGGCCACUAAAAAUCAUUAUGAUAAAAGNGCCAUGGUUUCCAUGGACCUUAUUUUUACUUUUAGGGGAGCGAGGCACUAAAAGGUGGCACCAAAAGCCAAGGGAAACAGGCCCAAAG